RNAcentral lists this transfer RNA (76 nucleotides) under Synergistales bacterium. RNAcentral's name for it is "tRNA-Gly". It matches the Rfam family "tRNA". Rfam says of the family: Transfer RNA (tRNA) molecules are approximately 80 nucleotides in length. RNAcentral also lists the same sequence under 1 other name. Lineage: Bacteria; Thermotogati; Synergistota; Synergistia; Synergistales. The record is from RNAcentral.
GCGGGAGUAGCUCAGGUGGUAGAGCGUCGGCCUUCCAAGCCGAAGGUCGCGGGUUCGAGUCCCGUUUCCCGCUCCA